Molecule: unclassified non-coding RNA, 253 nt
Filed under: uncultured Euzebyaceae bacterium
Lineage: Bacteria; Bacillati; Actinomycetota; Nitriliruptoria; Euzebyales; Euzebyaceae
Description: contains 16S-23S intergenic spacer region
Rfam family: Bacterial small subunit ribosomal RNA
Source: RNAcentral
UACGAAGGGGGCUAGCGUUGUUCGGAAUUAUUGGGCGUAAAGAGCUCGUAGGCGGUCCUUUAAGUCGGGUGUGAAAUCUCAGGGCUCAACCCUGAAACCGCACCCGAUACUGGUGGACUUGAGGCAGGUAGGGGAGAUCGGAAUUCCUGGUGUAGCGGUGAAAUGCGCAGAUAUCAGGAGGAACACCGGUGGCGAAGGCGGAUCUCUGGGCCUGUUCUGACGCUGAGGAGCGAAAGCGUGGGGAGCAAACAGG